Molecule: ribosomal RNA, 828 nt
Filed under: Truncatella angustata
Lineage: Eukaryota; Fungi; Ascomycota; Sordariomycetes; Amphisphaeriales; Sporocadaceae
Description: partial 28S large subunit ribosomal RNA
Rfam family: Eukaryotic large subunit ribosomal RNA
Source: RNAcentral
CAGGGAUUGCCUUAGUAACGGCGAGUGAAGCGGCAAUAGCUCAAAUUUGAAAUCUGGCGCUUGCGUCCGAGUUGUAAUUUGCAGAGGAUGAUUUUGGUUAGGUACCUUCCGAGUUCCUUGGAACAGGACGCCUUAGAGGGUGAGAGCCCCGUACGGUUGGAUGCCGAGCCUUUGUAAAUCUCCUUCGACGAGUCGAGUAGUUUGGGAAUGCUGCUCUAAAUGGGAGGUAAAUUUCUUCUAAAGCUAAAUACCGGCCAGAGACCGAUAGCGCACAAGUAGAGUGAUCGAAAGAUGAAAAGCACUUUGAAAAGAGGGUUAAAUAGCACGUGAAAUUGUUGAAAGGGAAGGAUUUAUGACCAGACUUUUUCUAGGAGGAUCAUCCGGUGUUCUCACCGGUGCACUUCUUCUAGUCUAGGCCAGCAUCGACUUUCGGCGGUGGAUAAAAGCUUUGGGAAUGUGACUCCUUUCGGGGAGUGUUAUAGCCUAUUGUAUAAUACACUGCUGGGGGUCGAGGUACGCGCUUCUGCAAGGAUGCUGGCGUAAUGGUUAUCAAUCACCCGUCUUGAAACACGGACCAAGGAGUCGAACAUUUGUGCAAGUGUUUGGGUGUUAAACCCUCACGCGUAAUGAAAGUGAACGGAGGUGAGAGCCCUUACGGGUGCAUCAUCGACCGAUCCUGAUGUUUUCGGAUGGAUUUGAGUAAGAGCAUAACUGUUCGGACCCGAAAGAUGGUGAACUAUGCGUGGAUAGGGUGAAGCCAGAGGAAACUCUGGUGGAGGCUCGCAGCGGUUCUGACGUGCAAAUCGAUCGUCAAAUCUGCGCAUGGGG